GGAGUAACACGUGGGCAACCUGCCCUGAANCGGGGGAUAACAUCUGGAAACAGGUGCUAAUACCGCAUAACAACGAAAACCACAUGGUUUCGUUUCAAAGAUGGUUUUGGCUAUCACUUCAGGAUGGGCCCGCGGUGCAUUAGCUAGUUGGUAAGGUAACGGCUUACCAAGGCGAUGAUGCAUAGCCGAGUUGAGAGACUGAUCGGCCACAAUGGAACUGAGACACGGUCCAUACUCCUACGGGAGGCAGCAGU
Molecule: ribosomal RNA, 254 nt
Filed under: uncultured Lactobacillus sp.
Lineage: Bacteria; Bacillati; Bacillota; Bacilli; Lactobacillales; Lactobacillaceae
Description: partial 16S ribosomal RNA
Rfam family: Bacterial small subunit ribosomal RNA
Source: RNAcentral